AACAACGACUUCCCUUCUCGCUCUAGGUAAGUUUUUUUUUUGUUUUAGUUUUAGGUGGUUAGUUAGGUGAUUAGAUUAGGUUUGGAAUUAGUUUAGGAUGGAAGUAGAUUAGGAUGGAGUUAGAUUAUGGUGAAAUUAGAAUAGGUUUAGAUUAUUUAUAUAAAAAAUUUGAAUUGUUUAUAACCAUCUAUUGUUUUUGUUUUUUUUCUUCAGAUUGAUGAUGAUGCUAUGGCUGGCAGUAGAAAGAGACUUAGGAACUUUGCGCCUAGAAAAUCUUACGGGAGUACGUUUCUCGGACAGCCGGAUCCAUCAGCUUCUAUCUCCGGCAUAUCAUCCGACUUCUUCGACGAAAUAAACCUUAAUGCUUAGUUUUUUUCGGUUUUAAUUAAUUUGUAUUUUGAAUGUUUUAUAUUAUGGAUAUUAUUAUGUUUACGGAUGUUAGAUAGUUUCUUUUAAUUUUAUCAAAUUUUAAAUAAUUAAAAUAAACUAAAUUUAAAUAUUUAAUUUUAAUUAAUUUAUAAAAUUUGUAAAUAAAUAUAAAAUUCAAAAAUAAAUAAAUAAAAUUGGUCAAAUUUACGACUAAUGAACAUCUAAAGUCGAUGUAAAGUGGUCGUUACC
This 618-nucleotide long non-coding RNA is filed under the name Brassica rapa (field mustard). RNAcentral's name for it is "long non-coding RNA (BRAP_LNC002138)". The record is from RNAcentral. Lineage: Eukaryota; Viridiplantae; Streptophyta; Magnoliopsida; Brassicales; Brassicaceae.